RNAcentral lists this non-coding RNA (157 nucleotides) under Clostridium senegalense. The record is from RNAcentral. Lineage: Bacteria; Bacillati; Bacillota; Clostridia; Eubacteriales; Clostridiaceae.
UACUUUUUAUGGUACUUUUAUAGUUUAAUAGGGAAAGUGGUGUAAGCCCACUACAGCCCCCGCUACUGUAACGGAGACGAAUUUUAACCACUGAAGCUUUGUGCUUUGGGAAGGUAAAAGGAGAUUGACCCGUAAGUCAGGAGACCUGCCGUAAAUC